RNAcentral lists this small RNA (146 nucleotides) under Alicyclobacillus hesperidum. RNAcentral describes it as "c-di-AMP sequence". It matches the Rfam family "c-di-AMP riboswitch aptamer (ydaO/yuaA leader)". From Rfam's summary of the family: This family represents a conserved RNA structure found upstream of the ydaO and yuaA genes in Bacillus subtilis and related genes in other bacteria. Lineage: Bacteria; Bacillati; Bacillota; Bacilli; Caryophanales; Alicyclobacillaceae. The record is from RNAcentral.
UCAAAUACUAAGCCGAAUCUCCAGAUUGAUGAUCUGGAGUACGGGGGACUUCUUGGUUGUAAGACCUUGGGGUGAAUCGCCAUCUGCGACGGGUGUCUCGUCACCCGAACCCGACAACUAACCCCGGAGGCAGAACGAGAGGAUUU